Molecule: long non-coding RNA, 671 nt
Organism: Tyto alba (common barn owl)
Lineage: Eukaryota; Metazoa; Chordata; Aves; Strigiformes; Tytonidae
Exons: 3
Source: RefSeq, a predicted model, not a curated record
UCUCACACCAAAAUUGUAUUUGAUGCUGAGGAGCCUAAGGAGCUACCUAAAACAGAAUCAUCAAUAGAAGAGAUUGCUGCCUAAAUCACAAGAACCAGACAGAGGUCAUUGAAGAGUUAUAAGGGAUUUCAGGUAGUGACCCACACCUAACACAGAACAUCCAUUGCCUGGGAUGGCUGCAAGGACAAGGACCGCCUACGUCCUACUGAAAUGUAAUGAAGCUAAUGAGCUAACGAGGAGCUGCCAGCCCAAUGUUGGUCUCAAGUGGGAGAUGUUGGCCUGAACCUGUUCCCGUUGCAGCGAAUGAUGAGUUGCUCAGCUGUUAUCAUGGGAGCGGCCUCAAAUCCUUCAUUUGUCUGGUUUGGAGUUAAAACUGGGGGGAGGGGCAUACAAAUAAUGGUGGAAAGGAAUGAUUAAACAUGAGCCUAAGGUUGUGCUUGCAAGCUGAAUUACUGCUAUAAGAAAGGGAAUCUCUCAGCUGAUGGGUUGGUUUUGCCACAUUGUCAUUAUUCUGAAUUGCACUGCCAAUUGUUGCCAAUUUAAGGCUGACCCCAGCUCCCAUCCUGUUGUUCCUGGCUCUCUGGGGACCGCCAGUUUCUGUCUCAAAGCAGGCUGGAGAGGAGAAGGGAAACCAGAAAAGCUGCUACAGCACUGGGAUGAUCACACAGCUC